This is a non-coding RNA of Cinara cedri, 281 nucleotides long. Lineage: Eukaryota; Metazoa; Arthropoda; Insecta; Hemiptera; Aphididae. The record is from the annotation of a GenBank genome assembly.
GCGCGUCGCUAGCGCGUUUACCGUUCCCCUCUAUUAUCGGGCGCGCGGUUGAAUACGUGAGAGUACGUGAAAUACGUCGUCGGCAGUCACGUAUACGUACGCCAAACGCCGUCGUCGCGUCGAGAACGGUUGCCGUCCCCCACCCGACGACGACGCGGGGCAGCGGUUCGAGACGUCGUCAUCAUCGGUUGCCAUACGCGGGCGCUGCGGGUGUAACUCGUGUUCGUAGACUCGAAGUGCGCGUCAACGUCCGCCAGCCCCAGCCCCGGCAAUCGCCCCAC